GCAGGCUGGAACUCGCCUGCAUGAAGUUGGAUUCGCUAGUAAUCGCGCAUCAGCCAUGGCGCGGUGAAUACGUUCCCGGGCCUUGUACACACCGCCCGUCAAGCCAUGAAAGUCGGGGGGUGCUUGAAGUACGCUUACCGCAAGGGGCGUCCUAAGGCAAAACCGAUAAUUGGGGCUAAGUCGUAACAAGGUAGC
This 195-nucleotide ribosomal RNA is filed under the name uncultured bacterium. RNAcentral's name for it is "partial 16S ribosomal RNA". It matches the Rfam family "Bacterial small subunit ribosomal RNA", at positions 1300 to 1500 of the family's 1533-position model. The record is from RNAcentral.